Molecule: ribosomal RNA, 253 nt
Filed under: uncultured bacterium
Lineage: Bacteria
Description: partial 16S ribosomal RNA
Rfam family: Bacterial small subunit ribosomal RNA
Source: RNAcentral
UACAGAGGUGGCAAGCGUUGUUCGGAAUUACUGGGCGUAAAGGGCGCGUAGGCGGCCUUCUAAGUCAGACGUGAAAUCCCCAGGCUUAACUUGGGAACUGCGUCUGAUACUGGGAGGCUUGAGUGCGGGAGAGGGAUGUGGAAUUCCAGGUGUAGCGGUGGAAUGCGUAGAUAUCGGGAGGAACACCAGUGGCGAAGGCGACUACCUGGCCUGUUCUUGACGCUGAGGCGCGAAAGCUAGGGGAGCAAACGGG